UUGUUUAUUUUGUAUAUGACUCAGAUGGUACUAAACAGCUUGAGUUUUGGUUGGCCAGCGGCAGGCACCCCCCGGAAGGGGGCGAGGCUCUGUCCCACAGGGCUGCCUGCCGAAGCACGUUGGACGGGUAGGUAAACAGUGGGUUGGGAGUUGUUAGACUCUCGUAAUGAUCCCUCCGCUGGUUCACCAACGGAGA
Molecule: unclassified non-coding RNA, 196 nt
Filed under: uncultured fungus
Lineage: Eukaryota; Fungi
Description: sequence contains ITS1
Source: RNAcentral